GGAUGUAAUCAUUCCAGCAGUAAACCAUCGGAGCCCAUCAGAACUUCAAAGUUAAGUGUGCUUGGGCGAGAGUAGUACUAGGAUGGGUGACCUCCUAGGAUGGGUGACCUCCUGGGAAGUCCUUGUGUCGCAUUCC
Molecule: ribosomal RNA, 136 nt
Filed under: Triticum dicoccoides
Lineage: Eukaryota; Viridiplantae; Streptophyta; Magnoliopsida; Poales; Poaceae
Source: RNAcentral